ACAUUGGUGAUUUAAUGGUAGAAUUCUCGCCUUCCACGUGGGAGAUCUGGGUUCAAUUCCCAGCCAACGUA
This 71-nucleotide transfer RNA is filed under the name Loxodonta africana (African savanna elephant). It matches the Rfam family "tRNA". Rfam says of the family: Transfer RNA (tRNA) molecules are approximately 80 nucleotides in length. Lineage: Eukaryota; Metazoa; Chordata; Mammalia; Proboscidea; Elephantidae. The record is from Rfam by way of RNAcentral.